UCUCCGUUGGUGAACCAGCGGAGGGAUCAUUACCGAGUGCAAACUCAUAACCCUUUGUGAACCUAUGUCUGUUGCUUCGGCGGCUCGCUCUCGGGCGAGCCCGCCGGUAAUAUCAGUAUCUCUGUUUGAACCCGACGAUACUUCUGAGUGUUCUUAGCGAACAGUUAAAACUUUUAACAACGGAUCUCUUGGCUCUA
This 197-nucleotide unclassified non-coding RNA is filed under the name plant metagenome. RNAcentral describes it as "partial contains small subunit ribosomal RNA, internal transcribed spacer 1, and 5.8S ribosomal RNA". The record is from RNAcentral.